Long non-coding RNA from Meriones unguiculatus (Mongolian gerbil), 4150 nucleotides. RefSeq lists it as uncharacterized. The transcript is spliced from 2 exons. Lineage: Eukaryota; Metazoa; Chordata; Mammalia; Rodentia; Muridae. The record is from RefSeq and is a predicted model, not a curated record.
AGUGUUUAAAAGCCGUGUGUGGGUGUGGGUGAGGGCAGGGGUUGUACUUUCCAAACAUCACAGUCUCUCCCAAACAUCACGGCCUUUCUUUCAUGGUCCUUCUCUUGGUAAUGUCAAAACUCAAAUGCAGGCAGUUUUCUCACGGCCCUUACCGGGGCUGUGUGGUCAGGACAUUUCGGCUGGGACACACGUCUUCCUCGACCUCCCUGGUUCUUAAUCCCAAGCUCUUCUUUAAGAGUGUCCACCCGUGGUGUGACCCUCCCUCAGCUUCCACCCUGUUCCGUGUGUCCCUGGGCUGUCAGGCACCACUGUCCUGAAGUGAUUAGGCAAUGCACCCCUACCCCAUGUCUCUGCAUCUGAGAAUGCAUCCUGUCUGUCCAUCCCCGGUGCGUGGAGGGACAGCCACAGGAACUGCGUGUCCUUAGCGUGACAUGAACUGGUGUCUGGUCUCCCCCUGCUUUGGCAGCAUGUUCUUUCACUCCCCAGCUAGAGAAAUUCGGAUCAGUCAGAUGCUGUCUUCCAUUCAUGGUAUAGAAAAGACCACAUGGGGCAACAGACAUUAGUCUUUACCCAAGACCACGAACGUGGCCAUGGGAUGAUGUCACGACUCCACGUGCACCCCAGCCAUGCACACAGAGACUCACAAAGUGACCUAAAAUACUCUGAGAAGUCAAACCCUAAAUGCAUUUGUUUUGCUUUAAUUUAGAAACACUAAGUUAGUGUAGUGCUUCUGAAUCAAUUAAUUUGGCCAGGGAACUCUUACUGUGGGCAUGGAAGGGUACUGACUGCCCAGGAGCAGUGGGUUCAGAAAGCACUGUGAGAGGCUGGGUAUCAGUCACUUAGCGGAGCCUUUCCUGGUCAUGCUGAGAGAGUCAGGUAGAUCUUUCUGGAAAGACCAUCUGAGCUCCUGUUAGUUCACGUUCUUUUUCAUGAAGAUUGUCUCUGAGACAGACCUGUGGAUUUGCCUAUGGGUGCACACAAGUAGUGAUUACUCUAAGGAUCACAAGGUCAGACUUGGGAAGGGAAAGAACCGUAUCCUCUCGUGUCUUGCGGUGGGGACUGAGCUAGGGAUGGCUUAGACAGGAGGAGAGCACCAUACGACUAACCCACAUUCCUAGCUGGAAAAUAACCGAGUUAGUGUGUUGUGUGGGGGAGGGGGUAUGUGUAAGUAUGUGCCAUGUCCAUGUUCCUAUGCGUGUGUGCAUGUGGUGUAUAUCAGGUAUCUUCCUCAGCCACUCCCCUUCUUACUCUCUGAGACACAAGUCUACAGGGAACCUGGGUCUCACCAAGCCAUGCUGGCCAGCCGGCCAGUGAGCUCCAGAGGCCUGCCUGCCUUCCCCUCCCCAGCACCGGGGUUCCGGACGACACGGUUGAACCAGGAGCUUUGAGGCUGGCUCUUCUUACCUGAGUGCUGGAGGUCUGAACUCGAUCCCCACGUUCAUGGCUUCACCACGAGGCUGGCAGCAUUCUGCCUAUUUGGUGUGCCCUGGUUUUGACUGGGUUUGAAGUAUGGCGACUGGGUAAUAGUUGUGCUAAUCAAUGGUCAUUGUCUGAGCUAAAAACAGAUGGCAGCAAAGCUUCCUGACACUAUUUACAAGUGCUGCUUCAGAAUGAGCAAAACUGAGGAGGCUCUCUAGACCAGCAGGUGAAUUUGUGUGUUAGGAGGUGAGUGUGUGCUUGUGUGCCAACUGCUCUGUGAUACACUCAUUCUCUAGUUCUGCAACCAUCUCCUAGAACUACUUGUUUUAAAGUUGUUUUUAGUUAGAUGUGUAUGGCUAUUUGCCUGCGUGUGUGUAUGUGUGUGUGUGUGUGUGUGUGUGUGUGCGCGCGCGUGCGCGUGCGCAUGCUAUGUUCCAUGCAUAUGCCUGCUGCUCACAGAAACCAGAAGAGGGCAUCAGGUUCUCUGGAACUGGAGUGACAGACAGUUGUGAGCUGCCCUGUGUAUGUGCUGGGGAAUGAACCUAGGCCCCUCAGCUCUUUGUGAGCCCUCCCUCAACCUCUGUGUCCUGGAAUUCUUGGCAAGGGCUUUGCGACGAGGCAGGAGUUGGACAGCAGCACACCCAGGCUCCCGCUGACCCUGAAGUAGGCUGGGGCAUUGGGUACCACCUCCAUUCCAUUUCACCAAGCUCCCCACUCACUCCUGUGCAAAAGCGUGUUUGUUUUGUUACCACAGUCUCAUUCAUCUUGAGCUGAUGCAGAGAAGACACGGAAUGAACUUUGGUGAGCUGAGGAAGUGGGUGUUUUCUGUGUUUACUGUUGCCUUCUUCCAUGAGAUAAGGUCCACCCAGGCAGGGGAGGACUGGGCCACUUCUCUCAGUUAACCAGGCAUGUGUCUCCCUGAACUAAUAUUAAAAGUCCCAUAUCUGCUCUCCAUCUGCCAUCCCAGGACAGCUCUCUCAUGGUCAGUGAUUGUGACUUACUCAAUUUUCUCUCCCCAUCAUUUCACACCGCCCGGUGCUGAGGAUAUCAGUAAACUGCUUCAGGUGAGUGAGUAAGAAGAAUGAAACCCAUGACCUUGUGUGGUAGGCGGACACGCAAAUAAACCCGCUAAGAGUAGAGUGUCACAGCAUUUCACUGUGGUGAGAGAGAAGCCUCCGAGCUUCAGAACAGAACAAAAGCUUUAAGCGAGUGAUUGCUGGGUCAGACCUGAAAGUUCCACAGAGAAAGUGACAGUCAAGAGCUGCAAGGGAGAGCUAAGAUGGUAGAAAGAUGUCAAAGCUGGGGGAAAACACACAUACACAUACAUACAUACAUACACACACAUUACAUAUAGCCCAUUUGUGAGGGUGAGAGAGGACAAUGUUAUGGCUAAAUCAUACCAGGAAGGAUUGUGAAAAGAUGCGGGAGAGGUGAGUUCAGAUACAAAAUAAGAAAGAAAGAUGGUGACACAGUCGUUAAGGAUUGUAAACGCCAGUGGACAACCGAAGGUGAGACGGAAGUUUUCCCAUCAUAUCCAACUCUCGGCUAAAAUUCUAAAGUUAACAGUAAUAUGUCACAGAUAUGGCAAAUUUUAAAAUGCAGUGCUAGAUAGAUUUAUGGCAUAUUUUCCUCAGAGUCUGCGGAAGUUCACGCCAUCACCAGGCUGGAUAGACAAGUGUUAGGUAUUGGUUGAGAAGAUCCUUUGGGGAGAUGGAAGUGACUGCAGUAGGGAAUGGCCCGAGAUACUGGGGUAUAUCCGCCCCCACUCACAUGGAGGGGACCCCAAGAGAACGCUGGUCUGGACUCAUUUCCUGGAGAUGAGAUCUUAUUCUGAAACCCAGUUCAGAUGCUUACAGAAGGGACUGGCAGGCCUUCCCAGGACAGCCACCAUGGUAGAACUCAUGAAGCUUCCAUGUAUGCCACGGGCAUAAGUCUGAGGGACGUGUGAUGGAGAGAGAAGCCAGCCUGCUGGAAGCUGCAAUGAAGGCAAGACAGAAAGAGAGCAGCACACGGCCCACCCAGCUUAAGCCCCACUGACGGGAUGAGGGAUGGAGGGAUCACCUUACAGGACGUGUUUGAUAGCCAGCAAAGAGAGACGGGCCCAAAGGCGUUGGAGUUUCAAAAUAAUGUGCCUGCUUCAUCUCAAAUACCAACUCCCAACUCCGAGGCAUGUACGGUUUUUUCUAUCAAGGCUCCCUGUGGGAAGUCUGUUGUGUGUCCUGCUUCUGAGUAAAUCUGAAAACAGCAACGGUGCGUGUGAAGGAAGGCGUCUUGGAGAUGAAGGGCAGCCUCAGACAGAAGAUGCACUUAAGCUUAAGCCUUGCUUAUCAGGAUAACAGUUUUUAAUUAAAUAUUUUAGACUGAGGGUGAGUGUCAGGAAGUGACGCGCAUGUGUGCUUUCUCCUCGGGCAUCAAUGCUACCGCCGAGGAGCCGUCCGAUCCAGUCUCGCUCGGAGAGAGUGGACAAUGGUCUGUGUUCCUCCAGCUGGCUUAUUUUACAAGCAUUAGGGAACAAUUAGGCAGCGCCGGCACCCUGUCCCUCUGUAAUCCUGCGGUAGGACCACUGAUCCCUACCAGCAGCAGCUAAUGAUGAAGGUCUCCUAAGCCCGGCUUCUCAGCCCAGCCAGCUCUUAACGCUUGCAUAAGUAUGCUUUCUGAGGACGGGAGCCCCCUACUGCUGUGCGGCCCGGGAACAAAAGCCCAGAGACAUUUCUGAAGCGCUGCUGUUCAA